UACGGAGGGUGCAAGCGUUGCUCGGAAUUAUUGGGCGUAAAGGGUAGGUAGGUGGUCUUAUUUGUCUGGGGUGAAAGCCUUGAGCUUAACUCAAGAAGUGCCCCAGAAACGGUGAGACUAGAGUCUUGGAGAGGGUCGUGGAAUUCCCGGUGUAGCGGUGAAAUGCGUAGAGAUCGGGAGGAACACCAGAGGCGAAGGCGGCGACCUGGACAAGUACUGACACUCAACUACGAAAGCGUGGGGAGCAAACAGGAUUAGAAA
RNAcentral lists this ribosomal RNA (261 nucleotides) under uncultured bacterium. RNAcentral describes it as "partial 16S ribosomal RNA". It matches the Rfam family "Bacterial small subunit ribosomal RNA", at positions 524 to 784 of the family's 1533-position model. The record is from RNAcentral.